GCCUAUGGCCAUGCCCCUCGAACAAGCCUGAUGUCUGAUCUUGGAAGCUAAACAGGGUCGGGCCUGGUUAGUACUUGGAUGAGAGACCAUCUAGGAAGACCAGGUGCUGUAGGCA
This 115-nucleotide ribosomal RNA is filed under the name Pteropus alecto (black flying fox). The record is from RNAcentral. Lineage: Eukaryota; Metazoa; Chordata; Mammalia; Chiroptera; Pteropodidae.